AGGAGGAACAACCGCAGUGGCGGGGCCAGCUCUCCAGCCCUGGAGUCAGCCCCCGCAGUGACUAGGGAGCUCUCUGUCUGCAGGGCCUGGAGGCUCCGGGGCGGG
Molecule: non-coding RNA, 105 nt
Organism: Canis lupus familiaris (dog)
Lineage: Eukaryota; Metazoa; Chordata; Mammalia; Carnivora; Canidae
Source: Rfam